AAGAAAGUAAGAAAGGGCGUAUGGCGGAUGCCUAGGCUCACGGAGGCGAUGAAGGACGUGAUAAGCUGCGAUAAGCUUCGGGUAGGUGCAAAUAACCUUUGAUCCGGAGAUUUCC
Molecule: ribosomal RNA, 115 nt
Filed under: Segatella copri
Lineage: Bacteria; Pseudomonadati; Bacteroidota; Bacteroidia; Bacteroidales; Prevotellaceae
Description: partial 23S ribosomal RNA
Rfam family: Bacterial large subunit ribosomal RNA
Source: RNAcentral